Molecule: long non-coding RNA, 976 nt
Filed under: Homo sapiens (human)
Lineage: Eukaryota; Metazoa; Chordata; Mammalia; Primates; Hominidae
Description: HSALNT0110408
Source: RNAcentral
AAGUGUCUGUCAUCUGUGUGUGGAAGUGUCCUUCAUACAACAACUCUCAUUUUAAGAUCUUAAAAAAUUUGAACACAUUCAGACCAUCAUUAACUCUCAAAAUAUACUCAAGGAGUGAGUACUAGAGAGGCAAUUACUGUUCAUUGUAGCUGUUCUUACUUAUAUCACAAGUGUUCUUGUAUUUCAGGGUACCACCAGGAGUCCAGGUUCCCUUGCUCCUGCUCCAGAGCUUCAUUCACCAAAUAUGAGGUCACUCUCACAGGAAACAAGUCCGUCAUCUAAAGCUCCAAAGAUCAAUGAGGUGGUGCUUAUAACAUUAUUCGAAUUCCCAGAUCUCCAUCCAGGCAUGAAAACACAUGUUCUCCAUAGCUUCAGUGAUAAUAUGUAAAAGAUGUACAAAGUCAAGAGAAGAUGUGCAAAGUAAGUCACGACAGAAAGAAAGUAACUCUGAAAUUACAAGGUCCAGAAAUUUUACAUUUUCAUCUUUAUGACACUGAAUUAUGAGAAGCAUGCUUAAAAUACAAUUAAGCAAAGUUAAAUACAUGGUAGAUUCUACUGUCUUCCCUACAGGGCAGAGUCAGUGAAAGGAACUGAUUAAAAUGUUAACCCUUCUGAUUGAUUCAAGAGUUGAUGACACUAUGUCUACCCAAAUGAGUUUGAAAGCACUUGACUAGCCCAAUCCAUAUAUUGGAUGAUAGAACUUGUUUUGUAAGUGACGAAAAGAAAGAUUGGUUAUUUUACGUAAAUCAACAUCACUAUGGGACUUAUCAGGUUUUUAAAAUGACACUUAGAGCCCCAUGGAGGCAGCAGCACUUCACAUCCUCCCUCAGACACACCUCAUCCGGCACUCCCAGGCUCGCUGCACUUGGAAAAGCUGAUGAUCCUGUGAGCAGAAAUUCGCAGAACAUGCUCUUGGCCUUCUGCUCUCAGCUGAACCUGGCUCAUUUAUUCAGCUGGUAUUGCGAGUUUGGGGGCA